UAGGGAAUCUUGCGCAAUGGGGGAAACCCUGACGCAGCGACGCCGCGUGCGGGAUGAAGGCCUUCGGGUUGUAAACCGCCUUCAGCAGGGACGAAAUUGACGGUACCUGCAGAAGAAGGCCCGGCCAACUACGUCCCAGCCGCCGCGGUAAUACGUAGGGGCCUAGCGUUGUCCGGAUUUAUUGGGCGUAAAGAGCUCGUAGGCGGUUCGGUAAGUCAGGUGUGAAAUCUCCACGCUCAACGUGGAGGGGCCACCUGAUACUGCCGUGACUCGAGUCCGGUAGGGGAGUGUGGAAUUCCCGGUGUAGCGGUGAAAUGCGCAGAUAUCGGGAGGAACACCAGUAGCGAAGGCGGCACUCUGGGCCGGAACUGACGCUGAGGAGCGAAAGCGUGGGUAGCAAAC
This 402-nucleotide ribosomal RNA is filed under the name uncultured bacterium. RNAcentral describes it as "bacterial SSU rRNA". It matches the Rfam family "Bacterial small subunit ribosomal RNA", at positions 355 to 773 of the family's 1533-position model. The record is from RNAcentral.